Jatropha curcas is the source of this 783-nucleotide long non-coding RNA. RefSeq lists it as uncharacterized. The record is from RefSeq and is a predicted model, not a curated record. NCBI's taxonomy places the organism in Eukaryota, Viridiplantae, Streptophyta, Magnoliopsida, Malpighiales, Euphorbiaceae.
GAAUGUAUACAACUCUUCUCUUUCAUUAGAGCAAGCUAAAAAAAGCACAGCAAGCAUGGUUAAAAUGGCAUCAUAUGCAAUGCCUAUUCUUUUCUUCAUUUUGUUAACAUCUUAUAAUAUUGCUAUUGCUCAAACCGCUGAGGAUCUUCAAACCAUAUUAGCUGCAAAUGCAAUCAAAGAGAAGCCGAUGGUCAUCGGCGAACGUAAAACGGAAGCCGGCGGUGGACAUGAUUCCAGGAGCAGCGGACCCGGGCAUCGAUAGAGGGAGAGGUCCCAGGGAUGGACUGGCCACCUCUAACUCAAAAUUUUUAAUAUAUUUGCAUCAUAAAGUAAUGAAAAUUUUUAAUUUUACGCUUUAAAAUGAUUGUUUAAUUUUGUCUCUGUAGCUUUUGAAAAUUUUUUAGUUCUCUUAGUUUCGAUUUCUCGUUUCGUCGCUGGACCCGGCAGUGGCGGUGGACAAGGUUCAUAGCAAAUACACAUGUAACAGGACAUGGUCCACAAGUUCGAUAUUUUAUAUUUAGAGCAGUGAUACAUGGAACGAUUUUCAUUCCAAGCACGGCAAAUAUUUUGUACUUACCGGUGGGCCAUGGUAAUUUUUUAUUGAAUCCCGCGUAGAAGAAAUGAAAAGGGUAACAGGCGUAAUUGGCUCCUUAGAGGGAAGGGUAAAGCAGACAAUUCCAAUAGUCAUUGAAAGUGACUGAUGGGAUACUGGCAUACUGCUUAGCAGGUUACAAGUUUAUGACAAAUUUAUAAAUAAUAAUAUUUCUUUUUUUUCUUGCUCAA